Molecule: ribosomal RNA, 252 nt
Filed under: uncultured bacterium
Lineage: Bacteria
Description: partial 16S ribosomal RNA
Rfam family: Archaeal small subunit ribosomal RNA
Source: RNAcentral
UACCAGCACCCCGAGUGGUCGGGACGAUUAUUGGGCCUAAAGCAUCCGUAGCCGGUUCUACAAGUCUUCCGUUAAAUCCACCUGCUUAACAGAUGGGCUGCGGAGGAUACUAUAGAGCUAGGGGGCGGGAGAGGCAAGCGGUACUUAGUGGGUAGGGGUAAAAUCCGUUAAUCCAUUGAAGCCCACCAGUGGCGAAGGCGGCUUGCCAGAACGCACUCGACGGUGAGGGAUGAAAGCUGGGGAGCAAACCGG